GGAGAGAUGCCAGAGUGGUCGAUUGGGGCGGUCUCGAAAACCGUUGACCCGCUUGCGGGUCCCAGGGUUCGAAUCCCUGUCUCUCCG
RNAcentral lists this transfer RNA (87 nucleotides) under Bacteroidales bacterium. RNAcentral describes it as "tRNA-Ser". It matches the Rfam family "tRNA". Rfam says of the family: Transfer RNA (tRNA) molecules are approximately 80 nucleotides in length. Their secondary structure includes four short double-helical elements and three loops (D, anti-codon, and T loops). Lineage: Bacteria; Pseudomonadati; Bacteroidota; Bacteroidia; Bacteroidales. The record is from RNAcentral. RNAcentral also lists the same sequence under 1 other name.